AAUGAGGUCGUGUGCGCAUAAAAUUUAUCGCACCUAAAAUUCAUGAUAAUAAGCAGAAAUAAUUAUUUCAUUUUAUCUUUAAAAAGGAUGGAUUAUUUUUCGAGACAAUGAGGUCACUUACACAUAAAACUGAUAAAAUAAAGAUCCUGGAUGGAAAUAUCACUAUUUAUUAAAAACAUAUUAUUUUUCAAGAAGACGAUGUCACUUACUUAUAAUCACUCACGAAAUUGAUGCUUUUUGUGUAUGUUGGUUGGGGCACUAAAAGGCCGCCCGUUUACAGUAGAUCUUAUAGAAUCAGUAUGCACAAGAGCUCAGUGAUAAAAGUUUCAGUUAAAAAGACGCAUCUCAUGGUUAUACCAUAGGAAGGUGGCACAUUUAAUUUACUUACACGUCAUAGUGGAUUGUCAAGGGCCAACACGUAAGAGAAACUACAAGCCACGUUAUAAGAUAAGAAAAGCUUAAGUCAAAAGCUUUUGAAAAUAGUGAUGGUCCAUAAGGACCAUCAUGCUCAUAUGGACCAUCACUUAUU
This 529-nucleotide long non-coding RNA is filed under the name Amborella trichopoda. Its description in RNAcentral is "long non-coding RNA (ATRI_LNC004280)". Lineage: Eukaryota; Viridiplantae; Streptophyta; Magnoliopsida; Amborellales; Amborellaceae. The record is from RNAcentral.